UGGGGAAUAUUGCACAAUGGGCGCAAGCCUGAUGCAGCCAUGCCGCGUGUAUGAAGAAGGCCUUCGGGUUGUAAAGUACUUUCAGUCGGGAGGAAGGUGGUAAGGUUAAUAACCUUAUCAAUUGACGUUACCGACAGAAGAAGCACCGGCUAACUCCGUGCCAGCAGCCGCGGUAAUACGGAGGGUGCAAGCGUUAAUCGGAAUUACUGGGCGUAAAGCGCACGCAGGCGGUUGAUUGAGUCAGAUGUGAAAUCCCCGGGCUUAACCCGGGAAUUGCAUCUGAUACUGGCAGGCUUGAGUCUCGUAGAGGGAGGUAGAAUUCCAAGUGUAGCGGUGAAAUGCGUAGAGAUCUGGAGGAAUACCGGUGGCGAAGGCGGCCCCCUGGGCGAAGACUGACGCUCAGGUGCGAAAGCGUGGGGAGCAAACAGG
RNAcentral lists this ribosomal RNA (429 nucleotides) under Chloroflexota bacterium. RNAcentral's name for it is "Chloroflexi bacterium partial 16S ribosomal RNA". It matches the Rfam family "Bacterial small subunit ribosomal RNA", at positions 355 to 776 of the family's 1533-position model. The record is from RNAcentral. Lineage: Bacteria; Bacillati; Chloroflexota.